CUCACUCCUCUUGCAGAUCUCAGUU
Molecule: non-coding RNA, 25 nt
Filed under: Rattus norvegicus (Norway rat)
Lineage: Eukaryota; Metazoa; Chordata; Mammalia; Rodentia; Muridae
Source: RNAcentral